RNAcentral lists this ribosomal RNA (468 nucleotides) under uncultured bacterium. Its description in RNAcentral is "partial 16S ribosomal RNA". It matches the Rfam family "Bacterial small subunit ribosomal RNA", at positions 28 to 507 of the family's 1533-position model. The record is from RNAcentral.
GACGAACGCUGGCGGCGUGCUUAACACAUGCAAGUCGAACGGAAAGGCCCUGCUUGCGUGUGGUGCUCGAGUGGCGAACGGGUGAGUAACACGUGAGUAACCUGCCCUUGACUUUGGGAUAACUUCAGGAAACUGGGGCUAAUACCGGAUAGGAGCUCCUGCUGCAUGGUGGGGGUUGGAAAGUUUCGGCGGUUGGGGAUGGACUCGCGGCUUAUCAGCUUGUUGGUGGGGUAGUGGCUUACCAAGGCUUUGACGGGUAGCCGGCCUGAGAGGGUGACCGGCCACCUUGGGACUGAGAUACGGCCCAGACUCCUACGGGAGGCAGCAGUGGGGAAUAUUGCACAAUGGGCGGAAGCCUGAUGCAGCAACGCCGCGUGCGGGAUGACGGCCUUCGGGUUGUAAACCGCUUUCGCCUGUGACGAAGCGUGAGUGACGGUAAUGGGUAAAGAAGCACCGGCUAACUACGUG